RNAcentral lists this ribosomal RNA (622 nucleotides) under Akkermansia muciniphila. Its description in RNAcentral is "bacterial SSU rRNA". It matches the Rfam family "Bacterial small subunit ribosomal RNA", at positions 37 to 680 of the family's 1533-position model. The record is from RNAcentral. Lineage: Bacteria; Pseudomonadati; Verrucomicrobiota; Verrucomicrobiia; Verrucomicrobiales; Akkermansiaceae.
UGGCGGCGUGGAUAAGACAUGCAAGUCGAACGGGAGAAUUGCUAGCUUGCUAAUAAUUCUCUAGUGGCGCACGGGUGAGUAACACGUGAGUAACCUGCCCCCAAGAGUGGGAUAGCCCCGGGAAACUGGGAUUAAUACCGCAUAAAAUCGCAAGAUUAAAGCAGCAAUGCGCUUGGGGAUGGGCUCGCGUCCUAUUAGUUAGUUGGUGAGGUAACGGCUCACCAAGGCGAUGACGGGUAGCCGGUCUGAGAGGAUGUCCGGCCACACUGGAACUGAGACACGGUCCAGACACCUACGGGUGGCAGCAGUCGAGAAUCAUUCACAAUGGGGGAAACCCUGGUGGUGCGACGCCGCGUGGGGGAAUGAAGGUCUUCGGAUUGUAAACCCCUGUCAUGUGGGAGCAAAUUAAAAAGAUAGUACCACAAGAGGAAGAGACGGCUAACUCUGUGCCAGCAGCCGCGGUAAUACAGAGGUCUCAAGCGUUGUUCGGAAUCACUGGGCGUAAAGCGUGCGUAGGCGGUUUCGUAAGUCGUGUGUGAAAGGCGGGGGCUCAACCCCCGGACUGCACAUGAUACUGCGAGACUAGAGUAAUGGAGGGGGAACCGGAAUUCACGGUGUAGCA